Molecule: transfer RNA, 96 nt
Filed under: Hypoxylon rubiginosum
Lineage: Eukaryota; Fungi; Ascomycota; Sordariomycetes; Xylariales; Hypoxylaceae
Description: tRNA-Thr
Rfam family: tRNA
About the family: Transfer RNA (tRNA) molecules are approximately 80 nucleotides in length.
Source: RNAcentral
GCUCGCUUGGCACAGUGGUAAUGCGCCUCACCAGUAUCUUGGAUUCUUCCGAGAAAGACAACGAGGAGACGACUGGUUCGAUUCCAGUAGCGAGCU